Molecule: ribosomal RNA, 188 nt
Filed under: Fusarium camptoceras
Lineage: Eukaryota; Fungi; Ascomycota; Sordariomycetes; Hypocreales; Nectriaceae
Description: partial 28S ribosomal RNA
Source: RNAcentral
CGUGAAAGGGAAGCGUUUAUGACCAGACUUGGGCUUGGUUAAUCAUCUGGGGUUCUCCCCAGUGCACUUUUCCAGUCCAGGCCAGCAUCAGUUUUCGCCGGGGGAUAAAGGCUUCGGGAAUGUGGCUCUCUCCGGGGAGUGUUAUAGCCCGUUGCGUAAUACCCUGGCGGGACUGAGGUUCGCGCAUC